This 927-nucleotide long non-coding RNA is filed under the name Homo sapiens (human). RNAcentral describes it as "non-protein coding lnc-MCMBP-1:2". The record is from RNAcentral. Lineage: Eukaryota; Metazoa; Chordata; Mammalia; Primates; Hominidae.
CAGAGGGGGUAAAGUGGACUGGGGAGAACUUCGGAGGAUGUUCAUGUCCAGGAGCAGCCCCACGCCCUGUAUGGUCGGUGUCUAGAGCCUCACAGCAACUAAGACCAACCCAGCUCUCAGAAGAAGGAAUGUCAAAAUGUCAUGUUCAAUUUUACAUUCAGUGCCUGGAAUCUUUUCUUCACAAUUGAAAUGAAAUGUGCUGAAGGAGGUGAAUCCAUGCAUUAAUCUUCAGCUCACAAAGGAAAUACUACAUAAGAAGCAAGGACCACAGACUCAAGAAGGACAUAAUUGGAUUUUUUUUGCCAUGGCCUGGAAAGAAAGGUACACACAGUUAACCACAAAACAGGCCUCUCUGAAAAAGCCAUUGCCAUGGACUGCCAGACAGACAAUGACAAGACACAAAUACCUUCUGGUGUGUGAGCCACGGGACAUGUGAGCUUCCCCGCUGAUGCUCCUCUUAUAUCAAAGAUCACUUUCACAACAUGAGCGACUAUCUUUUAUCAAACCAAUGAUCACCUGCAAGCUAUGGUAUAUUUUUGCAGCUGUGUAGAGCUAUGUGGCAUGAGAAUGUGGGACUUAUAAAUUGCUGAUCCAAUAAAUAGACAUUAUGGGCAACAGUGUCUUAUCAGCUAGUGUGUACUAAGGUUUCAGGAACAGUUGUUCUGACCUUACUAUCCAACGAGGAGUAACUGAUUCACUUCUCAGAGGUAUAUUAACCUAAUUUGGACAUCACAGAAUGCCUGAAAAAUAAUUCUUCAGUGCAUUAAACAGUCCCCUGGAUCUAUUAAAGUAAGCUUAUUCAUAAAAUACUAUAUUGCCUGUUUUUGUCAUUGCCGUAUGCCAGCCAGAUUUUUUAAUGACAUUGUGAAAAUAAAAGGUAUUUUUAAAGGGAAGGAUCAAAAAUACUUCCCCAAAGAGCAUUUUCAA